Molecule: long non-coding RNA, 251 nt
Organism: Heteronotia binoei (common prickly gecko)
Lineage: Eukaryota; Metazoa; Chordata; Lepidosauria; Squamata; Gekkonidae
Exons: 2
Source: RefSeq, a predicted model, not a curated record
GGGGCCGAUUAAGGCUCACUGGUGCUCUAAGCACUGACCAAUCUUGGUGCCCCCCUCCUUUCCACACUGACCCAGUCCGAGUCAUUAAAAUGACUGUCAUGACAACUGAAUUUGGCUCCAUCAUUUUACUUUUAAACACAUGCAUUUUACUUUUAAACAUAGCCUAUGACACUGCACCUCGCCAACAAAAAAUAGAAGAUAACCCUAGGGUGCACCAUGAUCAAUCUGAACUAGUUUUAUCAUUUUUUUUU